Molecule: ribosomal RNA, 400 nt
Filed under: uncultured bacterium
Lineage: Bacteria
Description: bacterial SSU rRNA
Rfam family: Bacterial small subunit ribosomal RNA
Source: RNAcentral
UAUUGGACAAUGGGGGGAACCCUGAUCCAGCGACGCCGCGUGAGUGAAGAAGUAUCUCGGUAUGUAAAGCUCUAUCAGCAGGGAAGAAAGAGAUGACGGUACCUGAGUAAGAAGCCCCGGCUAACUACGUGCCAGCAGCCGCGGUAAUACGUAGGGGGCAAGCGUUAUCCGGAUUUACUGGGUGUAAAGGGAGCGCAGACGGCAGUGCAAGUCUGGAGUGAAAGCCCGAGGCCCAACCCCGGAACUGCUCUGGAAACUGUGCGGCUAGAGUACUGGAGGGGCAGGCGGAAUUCCUAGUGUAGCGGUGAAAUGCGUAGAUAUUAGGAGGAACACCAGUGGCGAAGGCGGCCUGCUGGACAGUAACUGACGUUGAGGCUCGAAAGCGUGGGGAGCAAACAGG